GAUGAACGCUGGCGGCGUGCCUAAUACAUGCAAGUCGAGCGAACAGAUGAGGAGCUUGCUCCUCUGACGUUAGCGGCGGACGGGUGAGUAACACGUGGAUAACCUACCUAUAAGACUGGGAUAACUUCGGGAAACCGGAGCUAAUACCGGAUAAUAUAUUGAACCGCAUGGUUCAAUAGUGAAAGACGGUUUUGCUGUCACUUAUAGAUGGAUCCGCGCCACAUUAGCUAGUUGGUAAGGUAACGGCUUACCAAGGCAACGAUGCGUAGCCGACCUGAGAGGGUGAUCGGCCACACUGGAACUGAGACACGGUCCAGACUCCUACGGGAGGCAGCAGUAGGGAAUCUUCCGCAAUGGGCGAAAGCCUGACGGAGCAACGCCGCGUGAGUGAUGAAGGUCUUCGGAUCGUAAAACUCUGUUAUUAGGGAAGAACAAAUGUGUAAGUAACUAUGCACGUCUUGACGGUACCUAAUCAGAAAGCCACGGCUAACUACGUG
Molecule: ribosomal RNA, 497 nt
Filed under: uncultured bacterium
Lineage: Bacteria
Description: partial 16S ribosomal RNA
Rfam family: Bacterial small subunit ribosomal RNA
Source: RNAcentral